This is a long non-coding RNA of Coturnix japonica (Japanese quail), 4052 nucleotides long. RefSeq lists it as uncharacterized. The record is from RefSeq and is a predicted model, not a curated record. NCBI's taxonomy places the organism in Eukaryota, Metazoa, Chordata, Aves, Galliformes, Phasianidae.
CCCGGAGCGGAGAACGGCCUGUCCGCAGCCCUCCUGCGCGCCUCAGCUGGCGGAAGCCCGUGCUUAGCUUAACUAUGGCUGUUAUUAGUGCUUCCAACGGGUUUUUGGCUGAGGUUUCAUCUGUGAACGCCUUAGUUGCCAACACUCUGACUGCUGGCUUAAGCCAAAGGUAGGAAAGGCUGAGCACCUUGAGAGCCUUGGCUAGGCCCAGCUGCCCUGGCCUUCAGAUCUACCCAAACUUGCUCGAGGAUGCUUAGGCUAGAAAGCAGAGUAAAACUGAAUUGGCUGGUAAAGCUGAAAGAAGAUGCUUGAAGAAGGAUCUUUCUUCUAGACUAAUCCGGACCAACAGAGCCCUGUUGCUGGCGUCUUUGUUAUGCAAAUCUUCUACUGCAGAAAAAAAUCGAGUCUUCUGCUGACCUUCACUUCGGCUUAGGGAAGCAGUGACACCCAGCGGCUAGGGAAUAAAAAGAGCUUUCUCGUUCUCUUAUUUCUUACACAGCGCAUCUCAGGAAACACAUCAGGGGAAAAAAAAAUGGCAGGGAUCCUUCGGCGUUCCCUUCUGGUUGUGCAUAUUUGCAUAUGGCACCCGUUACGGGCAGCCUGACAGCCUGGGAACGGAUAACCCGGCAGGGAAAAUAAAAUGCAGAACAGGAAACAAACAGAAAACACCCUAUGAGGCAGCUCAUGGUUCUCAUGCAUUUAAAAGGACACCGCAGACAGGAAACAUCAUUGGUAUUUUUCAAGUAUUACAAAGGCCUUUUAGUCAGUAAAAAGCACUUUCCUGUAUCACACCUCGGGCCCUGGCUUCACAAAAUAUUCCUUCUUAAAAAGGUUUUUUUUUCCUAACCUUAUUUCUCUACCAAAGACAAAUGAAAAAAUGAAUGUCAGGCCUUUGAAGAAACAACGGCAAGGUGACUGAAAAGGAAUAGCUAGAGGGGAGCCUCCUUGUUCAGUAUUUUCAUUUAUUAGUGUUCCCAGCAUCAGAGGCAACAGUUCCUUUGUGAAGUCCUAUUCGGUGCACUAACUUAGUGCUCUUGUGUUCAAUGAACAAAACAUCAAAGCAUUAGAUAUGAGUAAGGAACUGGGCCAGCAGAGGUAGCUGUUAACGCAACAAAACCAACUACCAUUAUAAAUAGUUUUGUCAGUGAAGACGUAUAGAAGAAAACAUUCUUAAACCAGGUAUGCAGACCUUGUACAGUAGCUGCCACUGGGAAUUCACCUGCGAUUGAAUGGCUCCUCCCUCGCUUUCUGCCCCUUGGAUUUCCUUGAGACUGCCCUUUUCAUAGCCUUACUAAUUGCUCCUAUCUUCCCACCUCUCCAUUUGUACUCUGUCAACGUGGAGUUCAGAAAGAAUGAAGCAACCCCAAAUAAACCUGAAGCUGGCUUAUUAAAAGAAGUUUAUUGAGUACUGAUUCUUCCCAGCAUUUGCAAACAUCAUUUGUACUUUCUGUGUCUCCAAAUUUACGCUGACCUCUGAAAGGAGGAGAAAGUUAAAGGAUUUUUACACUUGAGUAGAUGUACAUACCUUCCAAAUCCAGAAGUGCACUGUUUACACUAACUGUUGCUGUUAACAGUGACAAAAGGCACGUUCCCAUAUCUGGAGGUCUCACGUGAUUGCUGUACGUGUGCCUUGGCUGAUGCCGAUGGAGCAAAAAGAACUUGCAGUCUCUGUCAGCAUUUUAAUAAUGAUCUCCAUCCAAGGGACUUCAUGUGUCUUACUAGAAACAUUUCUGUGCUAAAGGGUAUGCUUUGCCAUGUUAUAGCAUUAACGAUGUACAUAGUUAACAGCCAUUAUACUUUGGCUAGAUGUCCUAAAUGCUAGACCUAGCAGUUUCCUGACUAUUUCCAGGACCACAAAACAAUAGCCUUUUUGUUGGAACACCAGCAGGGCUGCAACACAGUGGCAUCCAUCUCAUAACGGAGGACCUUUUGGGGUCAGACUGAAAGAACCAUGGGCAAACUCUGCCACAGAGGGUGAGAUUCAAUUGCACGGCCAACAAAACUUAAAGCACAUUUAGCAAGUUCUAAAGUACUUGACAUUAUCUUAUGUUUCUCAGAAUGUAUCUGUCUUCCAGCCCAUACUCCAAGGACUGCUUAUGUAUUUCACAUUUCAUGUUUAUGUAAAAUGUGUAAACACAGUGGAACAAGGCCUGAAAUCCAGAUCUCUCUGAGCUCAGUACCUUCUUGCCUGUCUUCUGGCAGUAUCUCUGUGAAAGACAAAGCACCAGUUCCCACUGCAAGGAAAGCAUAACUCAAAACUUAACAAAAGUUGUGAUACAGAAGUCUGCUCCUGUUGUUUGUUCCUAUUAGAAGCAUCUUGAAAGGUAAAAAACAGGAGCUCCCAGCCAUUUCUUCCACCAUCUCUUUUGCAUUUCCUACCACCUGCACUCCAAAGUGACAAUAUGCCUAUUGAAGACAACUGUUAGGCAAGCACUCAUGCUAUGGAGUACUCCCUUUGAGCAAUGACAAGCCUUCAGAUACAAUUCUUACUUCCUGAGGCAAACUCUUGGCAGUUGGUCUGGCUGCUCUGAACUCCAGCAGAGCCCAUCUCCACUCUGUCACUCAGUGUCUCAAUUUUUAGGCACCAUCACAAGCAUCAGGUACUAAAAAAACUAAGAACCUCAUACGAAUGCUUUUUGCUUCUAACCUCAACACCUUUAUUCGACACCAGGGCACCUUAUUUUAUCCAAGCUCCUCAACUAACCAAGACAGUCAGCCUACCUGAGAACAUGCACAUAAAACUAACUAAAUUCUGUGAGACAAAUGUGGUAGAAGACACAGACGAAUGCAGAUUUUGUCCCCAGAUCUUCACUGCUAGUGCUGUAAUAGGCAACAGCAAACAAUAAACUCUGAAGGGUGCGUAUAGUUAAAAUUAGGUCUGUUUGGGCAUUCUUUUAAGUCAGGAUUUUACCCAUAAUGAUGCAAUUAUGCAAUUGCAAAAUUUGUGCAAUUGAUUUUAUACAUAACAAUACCAAUCCUUAGUGUUUGUGUAGUUUAGGCUUUUAGUUUUGAUACAGUCAGCAUCAGGCAUGACCACACAUACAAGGCAGGCAAAAGCACACACAGAAACAGGCUUAUUACCAAAGUUUCAGAGCUACAAAGAACCCCUGUCCUCAGUAUCAAUGAUGCAGCGAAGUUUGAUACAUUUUAAGGUCAGAAGAGAGUAGAAUGACAAGAGUUGUAUCCUGCCAGGACAAAACAUUAAUUAGUUAAUUCUUCUGCUAUCUCAGUAAGUUUUAGCCCACAUUUUUUUUCCUCCUCCUCCCCCCCCUCCCCCCAAGGUUAUCUAAUACAUAUACCAGCUAAUUAAGGAUAUCCUGUGACACUUGAUUCAGCACAUUUGGAAAAUCCACGCUGUCCUGUUCACGCUUCAAUCUAAGUACAUAUAGACAUGAUUAUGUAUGGUAAUGGCUCCUAUGGAUCAUACUGUGGAACACUACAUCUAUUGCUAGAUGCCAUUUCUACUGUAGUACUCAAACUGAGAUGGAAACUCUACAUAAUCUGUUUCUUCAUACUGUUACCCAUUUUUUAGAAAAACAAACACAAAAUGGAACUUGCUUUCCUAUCACAGUCAUCUUCUGGAGUGAACACUAGACGUCUUCUAUCUUCUUUGCAGGCCAUCACACAACGAGCUGGCAUUUUCAGAGCCUUUAAUUAACAAGAAACUUACUUGAGUAGAUGUAGCAGUACUUAAAAAUGCAGCAGAAUGCCUUGAAUGCAGAAUCUCUGACUAAUCUAGACUAACAGGAUUUUAUCAGAACUGACUAAUCUAGAUCGACAAGAUGAAGGACCUGAGGGAAUGGCAUGAAGCUGCACCAGGGGAGGCUCAAGUUGCUUCUGGGAAGCAGUUCUUCACCAAGAGGGUGGUCACAAACUGGAACAGGCUCCCAGGGCAGUGAUCACGGCACCAAACUGCUGGAGAUCAAGAAGCGUUUGGAUGAUGCCCUCAGACUUAGGGUUUGAAUUUUGGGUGGUUCUGUAUAGAGCCAGGAAUUGGACUUGAUGAUCUCUUAGAAAUACAGACGUAUUUAUGCAUUCAGGAAAAAAAAAAA